UACGAAGGGGGCUAGCGUUGCUCGGAAUCACUGGGCGUAAAGGGUGCGUAGGCGGGUUUUUAAGUCAGGGGUGAAAUCCUGGAGCUCAACUCCAGAACUGCCUUUGAUACUGAAGAUCUUGAGUCCGGGAGAGGUGAGUGGAACUGCGAGUGUAGAGGUGAAAUUCGUAGAUAUCGGGAGGAACACCUGUGGCGAAAGCGGCUCACUGGACCACAACUGACGCUGAUGCACGAAAGCUAGGGGAGCAAACGGG
RNAcentral lists this ribosomal RNA (253 nucleotides) under uncultured prokaryote. RNAcentral describes it as "partial 16S ribosomal RNA". It matches the Rfam family "Bacterial small subunit ribosomal RNA", at positions 524 to 776 of the family's 1533-position model. The record is from RNAcentral.